Molecule: ribosomal RNA, 497 nt
Filed under: uncultured bacterium
Lineage: Bacteria
Description: partial 16S ribosomal RNA
Rfam family: Bacterial small subunit ribosomal RNA
Source: RNAcentral
GAUGAACGCUGGCGGCGUGCCUAAUACAUGCCAGUCGAGCGAACAGACGAGGAGCUUGCUCUUCUGACGUUAGCGGCGGACGGGUGAGUAACACGUGGAUAACCUACCUAUAAGACUGGGAUAACUUCGGGAAACCGGAGCUAAUACCGGAUAAUAUAUUGAACCGCAUGGUUCAAUAGUGAAAGACGGUUUUGCUGUCACUUAUAGAUGGAUCCGCGCCGCAUUAGCUAGUUGGUAAGGUAACGGCUUACCAAGGCAACGAUGCGUAGCCGACCUGAGAGGGUGAUCGGCCACACUGGAACUGAGACACGGUCCAGACUCCUACGGGAGGCAGCAGUAGGGAAUCUUCCGCAAUGGGCGAAAGCCUGACGGAGCAACGCCGCGUGAGUGAUGAAGGUCUUCGGAUCGUAAAACUCUGUUAUUAGGGAAGAACAAAUGUGUAAGUAACUAUGCACGUCUUGACGGUACCUAAUCAGAAAGCCACGGCUAACUACGUG